AAAAGAUCAACGUCACAUACGUUGAAAAGUGUGCAAUAUUAAACAUAUCAAUUUGACAUUUUGUUUUCUCAUAAAAAUUUAAGUUUCCUUAAUCAAAAAUAAAGAUCAUGUGAUUAUCAUGUGACCAAUUAACAUGACAUUUCCUUGUAAAACUAAUUAUAAAUAAAGCAUUCCUAUAAAUAAAGCAUUCCUAUCGGAAUCCUGAUGUACAUAUUAUCCUGAUGUACAUAUUACUGAUGAAAUGCAGAUUCAUAGGUAAUCAUGGUCUAUACAAACAACAAGCUAUCCCUGCUUGCACUCUGUUUUGCGCAGCAGGAAAAUAGUUCUCUACUAUCUAAUAGUCUUGCAGCCUACAACAAAUGCUUUCAGGGUUUUACUCGAUCAACUAGCUACCGUCAACUUAAUUAAUAAAUUAACCCUUUCCCUGCUUUAAGUGAAUAUUUGCAUAUUUUGUUUAAAAAAUUUAUAACUCAUUAACCGUAUAUGUGACAUGUACAGGCUCUGGGAAAAAGGCGAGCUAGAGACCAAAAACGGCAGUAUAGGCAUGCAGUGUCAAAAUCAUUUUUAUUGCACAAAUCAUUAGUUUAAAGCCUUGAAUGUGUAUUAACAUCGCAGGCGAGUGGUCUAAAGUCAGCCACUUUCACAAGUCUUCUUGUCUUUGCGUUUACGGAAUUGAACCUUACGUGACGUCACACGUUGAGGGUUUUCCCAUGCGCAGACGGUUUGCGCAACAAGCAGCUGCAUACAAUACUUGCAUUUAUAAAUGGAUUCAGCUAAUUCAAGCAGUGCUUCUGAGACGGCUAAAGCUAUUAAUGAUAUCCUGAAGUCGAUGAGAUGGAUACGGAUGGCACAUAGAUACGGAUGGCACAGGAGGGCUAGGUCCAGGUACGGAGGAGAAUAGCAACAGUCUUUCACUGCAAGAUGAUGAAUGUGAGAACGAUGGGGAGAUGGAAGCCGACACAGAUGAGGUUGAAGAAGUGCUUGCACGAAUCUCCACUCACCGAACCCUGUGAGACUCUCUCUACCAGGUCCCUCUGUCCCAGGUCCAAUGGAAAUCGCUGCAAAAGAGAAAAAGGAAGUUACGAAAUUCGUUCGUAAAACCUGCGGAUGUACACGUAGCAAUGGUGGCCCCUGCUCUAAACUAUUUACAACUACAAACAUCAAAAAGA
This is a long non-coding RNA of Halichondria panicea, 1169 nucleotides long. RefSeq lists it as uncharacterized. The record is from RefSeq and is a predicted model, not a curated record. Lineage: Eukaryota; Metazoa; Porifera; Demospongiae; Suberitida; Halichondriidae. The transcript has 3 exons.